AUGUUUAUUCCAAGGCAGAAAUGUGCUUCCAUAGAUUCUGCUUUUACCUUCUUUAGAUUUUUUUUUAUUGGUGGAGCAAAAAAUAGACAAAGUAACUGGACAACUGCGUCUAAAAUGUUGCCGAAUGAAUGUACCUUCUGCUGCAAUGCUAACCUGAAAAGAAGCCAACCAACAUACGAUGCAUAUACAUCCAACUCAAGUGCUGAAUUGACUGACUGUAUCUUACGGAAGAGCUCUGAACUUAAAAUCCUUCCACAUGACCCUGGCAUCCUCGCAGUCCUGUGUGCAAAUUGAAUGACACCCCACCUCUGCAUGUCUUCAAAGUUGAUGUGAUUGGAGCUUGGUACCUCAGACAUCACUGCUUUACUCCAGGCCCUGGUCAUCCCAUCCUCUUCAGCAUAGGCAAGGC
RNAcentral lists this long non-coding RNA (409 nucleotides) under Sinocyclocheilus anshuiensis. RNAcentral describes it as "lncRNA (ENSSANG00000030534.1)". Lineage: Eukaryota; Metazoa; Chordata; Actinopteri; Cypriniformes; Cyprinidae. The record is from RNAcentral.